This 614-nucleotide ribosomal RNA is filed under the name uncultured bacterium. Its description in RNAcentral is "bacterial SSU rRNA". It matches the Rfam family "Bacterial small subunit ribosomal RNA", at positions 56 to 670 of the family's 1533-position model. The record is from RNAcentral.
UGCAGUCGACGAAGCACCUUGGACAGAAUCCUUCGGGAGGAAGACCAUUGUGACUGAGUGGCGGACGGGUGAGUAACGCGUGGGUAACCUGCCUUGUACAGGGGGAUAACAGUUGGAAACGACUGCUAAUACCGCAUAAGCGCACAGUACCGCAUGGUACGGUGUGAAAAACUCCGGUGGUACAAGAUUGACCCGCGUCUGAUUAGCUAGUUGGUGAGGUAACGGCCCACCAAGGCGACGAUCAGUAGCCGACUUGAGAGAGUGAUCGGCCACAUUGGGACUGAGACACGGCCCAAACUCCUACGGGAGGCAGCAGUAGGGAAUAUUGCACAAUGGGGGAAACCCUGAUGCAGCGACGCCGCGUGAAGGAAGAAGUAUUUCGGUAUGUAAACUUCUAUCAGCAAGGAAGAAAAUGACGGUACUUGACUAAGAAGCCCCGGCUAAAUACGUGCCAGCAGCCGCGGUAAUACGUAUGGGGCAAGCAUUAUCCGGAUUUACUGGGUGUAAAGGGAGCGUAGGCGGCAUGGCAAGUCAGAAGUGAAAGCCUGGGGCUCAACCCCGGAAUUGCUUUUGAAACUGUCAGGCUAGAGUGUCGGAGGGGUAAGCGGAAUUCC